This is a long non-coding RNA of Xenopus tropicalis (tropical clawed frog), 555 nucleotides long. RefSeq lists it as uncharacterized. Lineage: Eukaryota; Metazoa; Chordata; Amphibia; Anura; Pipidae. The record is from RefSeq and is a predicted model, not a curated record. The transcript is spliced from 2 exons.
GAAUUUCAACACAGCUUUUCACAUACAUUUUUUCCUUAACAUCCUUCUUUAAAGGGAAAGUGGAUGAAGUACAAUGUUGACAAAGGAAUCCGUCCAGGCCUUCAUGAGUCUAAGACCAUUUUAUGGAUGACUCACAUAGAAUACAUUAUGUCCUGCUCCUUUAAGUCCGCCAGCAUAUUUUUUGCCUUUGUUUUCUUGAACAGGCAGCUUAACUGCUUUGUUGGCAGAGGACGUGAGUGCACAACUCUUAAUAAUGGGACAUGGAUUGGAGAAAAUAUCAAUCAGAUCAGCCAACAAUACAGAAGCCAAAUUUACCAAGUACUUAGAAGUGAGUGAUUUCAAAACAGAACUUGUAGCAGCAGGUCACAAACAUGCAUUUUGUUGAUUGAUUGGCCCACUACAUGGAAAGAGUUGGACAGCCCGGCCCUGAAGGAAUUAACAAGGAAUCUCUAGUGUGAAGCACAGCUUUUGGUUUAUAUGUUUUAUGUAUACAUCUAAAUGCUAAUACUGUUGUUGAUAUUCAAUUUAUAAUAAAAACAAAGCUUUUGCAAGUUU